Molecule: ribosomal RNA, 253 nt
Filed under: uncultured bacterium
Lineage: Bacteria
Description: partial 16S ribosomal RNA
Rfam family: Bacterial small subunit ribosomal RNA
Source: RNAcentral
UACGGAGGGUGCAAGCGUUAUCCGGAUUCACUGGGUUUAAAGGGUGCGUAGGCGGAUAGGUAAGUCCGUGGUGAAAUCCUGCAGCUUAACUGCAGAACUGCCAUGGAUACUAUUUAUCUUGAAUGUCGUGGAGGUUAGCAGAAUAUGUCAUGUAGCGGUGAAAUGCUUAGAUAUGACAUAGAACACCAAUUGCGAAGGCAGCUGGCUACACGAAUAUUGACACUGAUGCACGAAAGCUUGGGGAUCAAACAGG